This 428-nucleotide RNase P RNA is filed under the name Novacetimonas hansenii. RNAcentral's name for it is "Komagataeibacter hansenii RNase P RNA component class A". It matches the Rfam family "Bacterial RNase P class A". Rfam says of the family: Ribonuclease P (RNase P) is a ubiquitous endoribonuclease, found in archaea, bacteria and eukarya as well as chloroplasts and mitochondria. Its best characterised activity is the generation of mature 5'-ends of tRNAs by cleaving the 5'-leader elements of precursor-tRNAs. RNAcentral also lists the same sequence under 1 other name. Lineage: Bacteria; Pseudomonadati; Pseudomonadota; Alphaproteobacteria; Acetobacterales; Acetobacteraceae. The record is from RNAcentral.
CCAGACGGUCGGACGACCGCUGUCGGCGCGCCCGUGCGCAAUGAUGGAGGAAAGUCCGGGCUCCACGGAAGAACGGUGCCGGCUAACGGCCGGCGGGGGCGACCCCAGGGACAGUGCCACAGAAAACAGACCGCCCCCACGGCUGAUGGACCGGUUUUACGAUCGGGCCGGAUGUUGGGGGUAAGGGUGAAACGGUGCGGCAAGAGCGCACCGCGCGCAUGGUAACAUGGGCGGCAGGGCAAACCCCACCGGGAGCAAGACCGAAUAGGAACGGCAGGCGGGCGGAUUCCGGUCCGCGCCGUCAGGGGCCUUUCCGCCCCGUCGUUCGGGUUGGUCGCGUGAGGCGUGCCGCAAGGCGCGUCCCAGAGGAAUGGUCGUCCCAUCCCUUCGGGGAUGGACAGAACCCGGCUUACAGACCGUCUGGCAUC